UGGGGAAUCUUAGACAAUGGGGGAAACCCUGAUCUAGCCAUGCCGCGUGAGCGAUGAAGGCCUUAGGGUUGUAAAGCUCUUUCAGCUGGGAAGAUAAUGACGGUACCAGCAGAAGAAGCCCCGGCUAACUCCGUGCCAGCAGCCGCGGUAAUACGGAGGGGGCUAGCGUUGUUCGGAAUUACUGGGCGUAAAGCGCACGUAGGCGGAUUAGUCAGUCAGAGGUGAAAUCCCAGGGCUCAACCCUGGAACUGCCUUUGAUACUGCUAGUCUUGAGGUCGAGAGAGGUGAGUGGAAUUCCGAGUGUAGAGGUGAAAUUCGUAGAUAUUCGGAGGAACACCAGUGGCGAAGGCGGCUCACUGGCUCGAUACUGACGCUGAGGUGCGAAAGCGUGGGGAGCAAACAGGAUUAGAUACCCCUGGUAGUCCACGCCGUAAACGAUGAAUGCCAGUCGUCGGGUUGCAUGCAAUUCGGUGACACACCUAACGGAUUAAGCUUCCGCCUGGGGAGUACGGUCGCAAGAUAAACUCAAAUGAAUUGACGGGGUCAUAGCUGUUUCCUG
This 559-nucleotide ribosomal RNA is filed under the name uncultured bacterium. RNAcentral describes it as "partial 16S ribosomal RNA". It matches the Rfam family "Bacterial small subunit ribosomal RNA", at positions 355 to 1376 of the family's 1533-position model. The record is from RNAcentral.